CCUGUGGCAGAGGAGGGCAGAGCUGUGCUUUCUGAGGUGAGUUUGGGUCUGCACGUCCUGUACACACCCCGUGCCUGGCAGGCAGCCCAGGGACCCUGCAGUACAGGAGUGCUUGUUCCCUUGGUGCUUAUCAGGGACAUCCUUGGAGAGGUGACAGUGGUGAGGGGGCAGCUCAGCACAGCCAUGGGCAGCUGCUUUCCUGGCUCUCCAAGAGCAUUUCCCAGGAGCAGACACAGCUCUCUCCACCCUCAGCCAGUGAGGAAAUUUCUCAGAGAAGCAACGGGUCCCUCUGCUCCUUUUCUCUGUUUCAUUGCCACAGGGAAACAACUGCUCACUCUUAAAAAAAACUCUCUCUUGGAGCAGCUUUGCUUGAUGCCAUUGCUGGCCUCUCUGGGGGCUGCUGCCUGUCCUGUGCCAGGCACAGGUGCUCCCACACCUCUGACCUACACACCUCUCCCUGCCUUUCAUCCCUUUCCCUCCUUUCCUUUUCUCUUCCCUUUGUUCCAGUGUCAAAGCCCAGACUGCUGAAGGAGGGGGAUAUGGGAACCUCCAUAGGCAGUGCCUUUCAAUGCUGGUUCCCAGUUCACUGGUCCCCAUUGCCCCUUCAGGUGGGGCAAAACAAAGGAGAAAUAUUUCCCUUGGCCUCCCCAUCUCCUCACUCCAACAUGCCUUUUCCAUGCCCCCUCCUUUCUGCUUGGUGAGGGGCCCCCUUGCUUUGGAUGGGUUUGGGGUAGCAGGAACAGCCUGACUGGACAAGGUGCCACUUCUCUUUGCAUAAGCAGCUUGAGAGCUUUGGUAGCUGGACAGGAGACAAAACAACAAAGAAAAGCACACGAUGGGUCACAGUUGGUAAACUUUCCCCUUCGCCCUUGAAGGGGUCUGUAAAGUGACUGCCUUGGAGGGGAUGGAGGGUGCUGUGGACAGAGCUCACCAGGCCCCGUGCAGAGGCACCUCUGGAGCUCCGUGGAUGGGGUGGUGGCUUUGGGAACAGUGAGACCUCUUCCAUUUUCUUUUCUGGCUCUUUUCACAGCUCAUUUUAUGGCAUCUUCUGCUGAGGGAUGUGGACCAUGGUUGCCAGUACUGCACCCUGUUUUGGAGGGAGAGAAAGGAGGCUGGAAGGUGCUCAGCAGCAUGGCCAUCACCCCAGGAGCCACCUGGAGACCUGUGGUGAGGCCUCACCAACAAUGGGGUACAGGGUGAUGCAUGUGCUGGUGCCUCCUUUGGAGAUAUCUUGGAGAUAGAGAAGCCUUGACUUUUUCUAACCCUACUUUUUUUCAGGCAGUUUGCAUGUGGGAAGUGUUUAAUUUAGAAAGGCCAGUGCUGCUGUAUCACAUUCCUGUGUCAGUCUCUGUUGGUUUAUGACCAGUGAAAUCCUGGUGUGAAAACAGAAUCAGGCUUUGAUUUCAACUGCUCCUGCUGUUUUAUGCCACUAACAACUUUGGAUUUCGAUAGCAGCUUUUAUUCUAGGAGCUAAACGGGCUUCACAGACAGGCAAUUAAUUAAUUGAGCCUCCCCAGCCAGCCUACGCCCUCAACACCACAAGGAAGCAUUUUGCAGAGGAGGAAACAGAGGCAGAGGAGCAAAAUGGAUCGCCCUAGACAGAUCAUGUUUACUGCUGCUGGUGAUGUGGAGGCAGGCUCCCUCCCGCUAGCUGAAGCAGCUCCACGGGUCCCCCUCAGAGCAGCCUGCGGCUGCCAGUCAUGGCUCAGCUGUCCUGAACAACCCUGUGAGCUUACUAUGCUGCAUGGAGUUUCCUGUGGAAGUUUGUUCCCCUCUGCCCUGGACUAUGAAAGAUUUUUGCUCAUCAGUGCCCUAGAUCUCUGCCUGCUGCGAAGACGGUGCCCCUCCCGGCAGAUGACUCCUGCAGUUCUUCCAGUUCUUCCAAAGUAACUGGAUGGUUUCACCCCUGUGGGGAGCAAGGUGCUGUGUCCCAUCUCUAAAGUGAGAACAACCUGAGGCAGGGAAGGCAGUAAGGAGCCGACGUGUUGGGGAACGUGAUGGCAACACCACAAGCCAUGAGCUGGCAGUGCAGGAAGCCAGGGAGGGAGCAGCCUCAUCCCACUGGAUGAAGGUGCCCGGGGAAGGGGAGAACAGCCUGGCCAGAGGCAGGUCAGCAUGUGAUGAGCUGCCCUGUUCCCACCUGGGGGCUUGCCAGCAGACCAGGAGAAGCCCUGCAGCAUCAGGCAUUAAUAGCACUAUUUGGGGACAGCAGAAACUGGAGUAAGAUGGACAGAAAUCCACCCUGGUGUGCACAAACCAGGGGUUGUUUUCAGUCCUCAGUUCUUUCAAGUGCCUGAUGAUUUCACAGUCCCUAUAGAGACUGACUUGGAGAAGUUGCUGGCCCACCCUAGCUGGGAUCUGCUGUCCAUAUCCCUGUGGAUGUUCCUGCUUCCGUACUGGAAAUAUGUGUGGAUUUCAAUGGCAGUUAGAAAUCAUCACUCUCCACCCAAAUUGUGACCAGCCAAGGAGACUGCAUCACUUGCUCAGAUUUUGGGAGCUUUAAUUGAGGAAAAGCAACUUCAGAGCGUGUUUCCAGGGCCUUCAUCUUCCAGACAAGUGAGAACCACCUGACCACCUCUUUUAGCUUUCCCUCUUGUAAAAGAAGAGGAAAAUGAGGGGGUUUGCCUUUUCAGAGGAGCUGCAGGGCUGGCAGUGAAGAUCCUGGGUGGGAAGCCCUUUCCCAGUGCAGGAGGGGAGAUUGGAUGUGUCCACCUGCAUCUCAGAAGGAGCUUUUCUGGUCAGUGCCUUGUCCUCAGGAUCAGCCCCCGUGGGGACACGGCGCUGCCCACGUGCAGGUGCUCAGGAGAGGUCACUGUCCCUGUGACUCCCACGCCAUGUGCAUCUCAGCCACAAAGAAAUAAAUACCCUCUUCUGCCUGGGGACACCUUUUAAUCUUCUUGCUAGAUUUUCAUACACUAGUCCAAACUCUCAGCUGGGCCAGGCAUGAUCUCAUUUAGCAUUCCAUCCACAGAGUCUGCUAAACCAAGGCUGCUAUUUCUAUGCCACGUGCUGGUAGGGGCUGGGGCCGCUCUCAUUGGUGGCACGGGGGGGUUCCCACCACCUAUUGCAUCUGCCAGUACUUUGCCCCAGAGGUGAAAAUGUCCCAUGGAGGUGGCCACCUGGACCAGCAUCCUCAAUGUUGGGAAGCUCACCAGGGCCUUACAGGACACUUGUGGGCAGCAGGUACCAGAGCAGCAGCAGCUCUCCGGCGACCAGGCAGCUGCCAGGUUGCUGUGCCAGGGGCUGCAUCGUCAGA
Molecule: long non-coding RNA, 3256 nt
Organism: Pseudopipra pipra
Lineage: Eukaryota; Metazoa; Chordata; Aves; Passeriformes; Pipridae
Exons: 6
Source: RefSeq, a predicted model, not a curated record